UUUACAUAUGCCAAACUAACUUGAAUUGAUCUAAAAAUAUGUACACCAAGCUAAAUAAUUUGUAUGGCAGGUCAAAUGAAAAGUAUUUUGUUCGUUUUAGUUAUGCUACAUAUUUUAUUAAACAAAAAUUGAAAUUAUUUUUGUCAAACUUGUUAACAUGACUUCUACGGUUUUUGUAUAUCAUAUAUUUGAUAGACAAUAAUGAAAAUUUAAAUUGUAUAGAGUAAUUUGGUUCAUACGUAACAGGUUCGGUUUCAUAACUGUAGUUGUCACUUGUGUAAAUUAUUUGUACAUAAAGAAGAUCAAAAUUAUAUAAUGAAAUUUUGUAUUCAAGCAGGAAGUUACAAAUUAACAAUCAUGUAUAUAUUGGUUUCGACUCGGCAGCCAACAUUUGACCGAAGCAUAUUUGGUUUGGUAACAAAACACGUGGUUUAGGUUUAGUCGGUUUUGUAACAUAUACAUUAAGGUUAAGCCUUUAAAUUUAUUUGGCUGGUUUAGUAAUAAUGUUAUUAAAUGAAUGUUCUUAAAACUAGUGGCAUUAGAUUGUAAUUAUUAGGGAAAAAUCAAGGCUAAUUACUAACUGUACUUCAAUUUUAAUAGUUUAGAUAGUUAAUUUUUGUGACGUGAAAGAGCUAAAGUCACUUGUUAAUGGGAAGUACAUUUCAUUUUUAUCUUCGCUUUCAUGGCCCCCUUCUCACCAAUUGACAGGCAGCAAGCAACGUAGACCACAUGAUAUAUACAGUGUAUAUGCACACUAUGGCAUAUAGAAUCAUUGAUACGUCAAGCACAUUCCGUACAGUACGGACUUGGAAACUGGACCUUUAGGCUCAGCAAUCUCCAACCCGAGAACCACACUAAAAUUUUUAGUGUAAUUUCAAAACUAAAAAAAAAAAUUCUUCUCCAACGACUAACACUAAACUUUACACUAAAAACUAUUUUAUAUUAAUGUAUACAUUAUAAUUUUAUUUGUCAUUUAUUUAAUUGUGUAUUUUAUUAAUAAAAUAAAUGAAUGUUGUUUUAGUUGAAUGAAUAGUAUUUUAGUGUGGUGAAUAAUGUCACACUAAAUUUGGUGUGAAAUUAUAUUGUUGCACUAAAAUAGUGUGAUUUUUAGUGUUGGAUUGGAGAAAGUUUUAGUAUAAAAAUCACUCUAAAAUAGAGUUUUAGUGUUGGAUUGGAUAAGGUAAAUAGAACUGAGGCGGAAAUCUAUAAUAUAAUGAGGCAGUUGCAUCAUUCCUGGGGCGACACGUCAGCGGUCUGUGGGUCCCACUUUUAAAAAGUGUGAAAAAAACGUCAAGACUGUGGCUCGAACCCGGGUUAUUGAAAUAUAAACAUCACCAUUUAUACCACUAAACUAAAUGAUACUUUGUACAUUGCUGGCCGAAACCAAUAUAUAUUUAUGAUAGGAGAGUUUACUCUGUACACAUAUGAUUUCGGUUUAAGUUCCAUAAAAAGCCCAAGUCGGGUGUAAGGCCAUUCGGCCAAUGUUUAGUUAUAUGGCCUAUUUUGAAAAAAAGUCUGACGUUUUAUGUUUUUGUCGAGGAAAGUGUGCCAUUUUUUAUUCGUUAAACGAGUAACGAUUAGGUUUUCAGAUGUUUCUUCUCCUUCGACCCUUCAAUCUCACCAGCCCUGCUGCUUUUCCUAAUCCUGCGAAAAAACGAGUCUUAAUCAACUCUUUACCUUCCAACUCUUUUCAUAUCUAUUAAUUCUUUUCACUGUAUUCAACGUAUACCUCUUAAAUUUUACAAUAAAUGUUUUUUUUUUCAUUAAAGCCAUUUACGAUCUUAAACUCUCCUUCUCCCUUCUGAUACAAUGAAACCGAAAAAUUCACUUCAACCUCUAUAAAUUGGAGAAGGUUGAUAGCCGGAUGGAUCUUCACAGACGCUCUCAGUUUAUCUUCUAUCUUUAAUUGGAGAGGGAGCUGCUCAUCCUCGACGAACAGAUAAUGAGUAAACAGCGCCCAAUAGACCUCCACAACCUGAUGUAGAUGAUUGGAGGCCACUGAAGAAGAAGAAGCCUGCAACAAUGUCAGAGGAUGCUAAAGCAUUGAGCAUGAUUAGACAAAUGUUCAAGCACUGCUUCUAACUUUUCUCCUACGCUCACACCCAUUACAUUUUCAUUAGUUUUUUUCUCAUGCACUUAUGAGUUUUGUAUUGUUUUAAUGUCAGUACUGAUCGUUAUGUUGGACAUGGCUAUGAUAACCGAGACCUGGAAGCCUGCUUUGAUGAUAUCAUGAAGGAAGAGAGACGAGGUGCGAGAAUCGCAAGGGAGGAAGAUAAAAUGGAAGCAAAGCUGAUCGCAAAAGAAGAAGAGCGAGAGAGACAGAGAAAGUUGCUGAAGCUGGGGCGUAAGAAAGUUAGAAGAAACAAACCUUUUGAUCAUCUUUGUCUUCUUUUUUAAAUAUAUGACAAGUUUAAUCUUUAGUGCUUCUCUCAUUCAAAUCUCUUUGGAGAAUAGUGUGUUCUUGAAACUGUACAAUUAGAUAAUAAUUAUAUUUAUUGGGUUACUCGAGGAAUCUGUUGGUGACUUUCCAAGUUGGUGAAAGCCUGAUUAUUUUCUAUUGGUAAAACCAGAGAAUGAAAAGAGAAGAAAAUAUAUCUUUAUUCACGUUGGAGUUGCUUUAGUUUCACUUUCUUACAAGUCCAUGAACAUUAUUUUUGUGAUUCUUUUAUAAUUUUUUCCUCUCAAAGAUCUUUAUUUGAGGUAUCAAAUGGUGACCAAAGAAGAAGAUUGUCUUCCUCCUGGGACAGAGCCGUUGAGAUGUUAUUUUCCUUCUUCUACGACUCCUCUUGCGGAGCUAGAGACUAUUCAAAGCUUAGAAAUCCUGGAACCAUCCUUUCUCUCUCCUGCUUGGUAUAUCAUUAUUCUUUACUUACUCUUCAAUUUUGAGCUCUUCCCUUCACCACAAUCUAGAGAUAGUUGAAACCUUUUGCUAUGGUCUGACUGUAUCUUUCAGUUCAAUACGUUAUAAAAGUUAUUCUUUUGGUUUAGUUUAGGUUGGACAUUCAAACAGAUUCUUAUAGCUUUGCUCGAUCAUUUAUGUACGCCAGUUUGAUUUUUUUUUCCAGGUUGCUGGUGACUUUUUGCAUCUAGAAAUUAAAACUUUUUGUUUAGUUUACGGUGUGGUUCUUAUAUAUUCUUCUUUAUAUUGCGUACUGCUUUAAUAUAAUGAGGCAGUUGCAUCAUUUCUGAGGCGACACUUCAGCGGUCUGUGGGUCUCACUUUUAAAAAGUGUAAAAAAACGUUAAGACUGUGGCUCAAACCCGGGUUAUUGAAAUAUAAACAUCACCAUUUAUACCACUAAACUAAAGGAUACUUUGUACAUUGCUGGCCGAAACUAAUAUAUAUUUAUGAUAGGAGAGUUUACUCUGUACACAUAUGAUUUCGGUUUAAGUUCCAUAAAAAGCCCAAGUCGGGUGUAAGGCCAUUUGGCCAAUGUUUAGUUAUAUGGCCUAUUUUGAAAAAAAGUCUGACGUUUUAUGUUUUUGUCGAGGAAAGUGUGUCGUUUUUUAUUCGUAAACGAGUAACGAUUAGGUUUUCAGAGGUUUCUUCUUCUUCGACCCUUCAAUCUCACCAGCCCUGCUGCUUUUCCUAAUCCUGUGAAAAAACGAGUCUUAAUCAACUCUUUACCUUCCAACUCUUUUCAUAUCUAUUAAUUCUUUUCACUGUAUUCAACGUAUACCUCUUAAAUUUUACAAUAAAUGUUUUUUUUCAUUAAAGCCAUUUACGAUCUUAAACUCUCCUUCUCCCUUCUGAUACAAUGAAACCGAAAAAUUCACUUCAACCUCUAUAAAUUGGAGAAGGUUGAUAGCCGGAUGGAUAUUCACAGACGCUCUCAGUUUAUCUUCUAUCUUUAAUUGGAGAGGGAGCUGCUCAUCCUCGACGAACAGGUAUGAUUGAUUUUUCUGCAAUUUCCUUCCUACGAAGCCCAAAGAGAUCUAUCGAGUUGCUGAUCUGCGUUAACCAUUUGAUGAAUUCCAUCCCGAAUGAUCCCAAAACAAUCAACGUCUACCUCAAAACACCAGAUAAUGAGUAAACAGCGCCCAAUAGACCUCCACAACCUGAUGUAGAUGAUUGGAGGCCACUGAAGAAGAAGAAGCCUGCAACAAUGUCAGAGGAUGCUAAAGCAUUGAGCAUGAUUAGACAAAUGUUCAAGCACUGCUUCUAACUUUUCUCCUACGCUCACACCCAUUACAUUUUCAUUAGUUUUUUUCUCCUGCACUUAUGAGUUUUGUAUUGUUUUAAUGUCAGUACUGAUCGUUAUGUUGGACAUGGCUAUGAUAACCGAGACCUGGAUGCCUGCUUUGAUGAUAUCAUGAAGGAAGAGAGACGAAGUGCGAGAAUCGCAAGGGAGGAAGAUGAAAUGGAAGCAAAGCUGAUCGCAGAAGAAGAAGAGCGAGAGAGACAGAGAAAGUUGCUGAAGCUGAGGCGUAAGAAAGUUAGAAGAAACAAACCUUUUGAUCAUCUUUGUCUUCUUUUUUAAAUAUAUGACAAGUUUAAUCUUUAGUGCUUCUCUCAUUCAAAUCUCUUUGGAGAAUAGUGUGUUCUUGAAACUGUACAAUUAGAUAAUAAUUAUAUUUAUUGGGU
Long non-coding RNA from Brassica napus (rape), 4584 nucleotides. RefSeq lists it as uncharacterized. Lineage: Eukaryota; Viridiplantae; Streptophyta; Magnoliopsida; Brassicales; Brassicaceae. The transcript has 5 exons. The record is from RefSeq and is a predicted model, not a curated record.